AGGCCCAUAGUGCAAUGGUUAGCAUACCGGUCUCCAAAACCGUUGAUGAGGGUUCGAAUCCUUCUGGGCCUGCCA
This 75-nucleotide transfer RNA is filed under the name Candidatus Peregrinibacteria bacterium. RNAcentral's name for it is "tRNA-Trp". It matches the Rfam family "tRNA". From Rfam's summary of the family: Transfer RNA (tRNA) molecules are approximately 80 nucleotides in length. Their secondary structure includes four short double-helical elements and three loops (D, anti-codon, and T loops). RNAcentral also lists the same sequence under 1 other name. The record is from RNAcentral. Lineage: Bacteria; Candidatus Peregrinibacteriota.